Molecule: non-coding RNA, 1370 nt
Organism: Oryctolagus cuniculus (rabbit)
Lineage: Eukaryota; Metazoa; Chordata; Mammalia; Lagomorpha; Leporidae
Source: RefSeq, a predicted model, not a curated record
AGUUUGCUGACUUCGAUCUUAUUCCUACAGGGUCACAGUCAAAGUGGAAGUUCUCUCCUCCCUUCAGAGAAAGUUGUCUUCUCACUUGCCUGGAAAUCAGGCAAAGGGGUUCUUACCAAGAUCCCGGAAGAGGAUUUUCAAAGGGAAGGAAGGGCUGGCUGGCCCCAGGGCAAGGGAGAGUCACAUAAACAGAAAAGCAGCCCCUGGGCUUGACAACAUGGAGAACCUGCUUCACUGGCUGCAGCUGUGAACAGAAAGUGAGGAAGGGGGCAACUGCACUUUACCAGAGGUAAGACUUUACAAAGAAUGAAAAUGGGCUGGCGCCGAGGCUCACUAGGCUAAUCCUCCGCCUUGCGAUGCUGGCACACCAAGUUCUAGUCCCGGUCGGGGCGCCGGAUUCUGUCCCAGUUGCCCCUCUUCCACGCCAGCUCUCUGCUGUAGCCUGGGAGUACAGUGGAGGAUGGCCCAAGUACUUGGGCCCUGCACCCCAUGGGAGACCAGGAGAAGCACCUGGCUCCUGCCUUCGGAUCAGCGCGGUGCGCCGGCCGCAGCGCACUGGCCACAGUGGCCAUUGGAGGGUGAGCCAACGGCAAAGGAAGACCUUUCUCUCUGUCUCUCUCUCACUGUCCACUCUGCCUGUAAAAAAAAAAAAAAAAAAAGAAUGAAAAUGGCAGAGUGAUUGCUCAAUGACUGCCAAGAUUGGAAGAUAAUCGUGUGCAACAUUUCUGCACGUGCUAUAUGCGUACAGAAAAUAGGUAGAGCAAGAUAGUUAGACCCACAAGAGACAGAGACCUUCGUGAAGCAGCAUCACAUGGCAGGCGGGAGGGAGGCAUUCUCCAGUGGAGGAGGAGGCUGCUGUCAUGCAGGGUGCAGGGUGGGCAGACAGACGCGUUCUCAGAGCAUCUGCAACCCCUCGCAGCCUGGAGCUGCACAAGGGCGCUUAGUGGAUGGGCAGUUGGGGGUCGGGGGUGAGCUCUGUCUGCUACAGGUUGUUCCUUGGGCGUAUUGAAGAAGGGCUCAGUAACUGGAGUGAACUGUUAGGAUUUUUAGGGUGCUUUUAUAAAACUCUAUCAGAAAAAAUAUGAGUAGCCCUAUACCCAUGAAUAUUUUACUUUUUCUCAAAUAACUCCAGUGUGCUUUAUUGCUUUUGAUCUUCCUCCUUUUCUCUGUCUUCUGGCCGUGCCGCUAUCAUGGAGUGAAUUCAAACUCCCAGGCGGAAGUGCAGUGACUUGAUCAAGGGGACGCAAUUAUAGAGUGAAAACAUCGUAGUGAAGUUCCUCACGUUCCCGGGAAUCUCCUUCAAGUGAUAUUCUGCUGGAUUAUAUGCAAAUACCGCCUAAAAGCCAAGGAGGAGUUACAGAUCUCUGUGA